UUUUUGUACAAUUUGAGCACUUAAAUUAUUAGUUGAUUAUUCAAAUUCGGGUUCUAGCGGGAUAUUAUUCGAAAGCUUUGCGGACAGAUAUUAUAGUUUUGGCGUUCAGGUAGGCUGGGUUUAUCCUACUUUUAGAUUGAGAUUAUAUACCGAAAUUGUGAUCUAUUAUGCUAGCUUUGAAUAAAUACUUGUAGAUGCAUAUUCUUUGAUUUAUAUAAACUGUCUUAUUUAUCCGGAUUAGGGCCUCGUUCUAGUAAAUAUUAAAAUAUUAUCUUUUAAUAUAAUAUAGCAUCUAUUACUUUAAAACGUGAAGCUAAAAUGAAUUGACUAUUAUUGUUACUAUGAGCUCCGGUUCGAGUCCGGCAUCUGAUUAUAGUUGGGGUUACUCUGAGUUCCGGUUUGAGUCCGGCAUCUGAUUAUUUAUGUUUACUUUCACCACUUGUGUGUCCCACCGGCUUAUGGGGGUACGGUUGGGUUAAUUAUCUUCUUCAGUGUGCCUAGCGGGCUUAUGGGGGCGCAGUUAGGUUAUGUUUGAUUUAUUUAUUAUUAUUGCAUCAUUAUUUUUCUGUAUUGCACAAGUUUAUUCCUUUAUCGCCGUUGCAUAGCUUGGUAGUUGUUUACCUUUCCAUCCCUACUUACUAAUGACUCAGAUUAUGCCCUUGCAUUGUAGUUAUACCUUUUCUGUAUUAAGCUCAGUCGGUCGAUGAUGUCUACUGAGUACCCGUGGUUUUUGGUACUCAUACUACUCAUACUACACUUUUGCAUCUUUUUUCUGAUGCAGAUCCAGGUACUAGCAAUCGGCGUUGACGUGGUUCCUACCUUUCAGUGCUGGUUUAGAGCGGGGUGAGCUUAGUGUCGUCCGAGGCUGAUCCUCCUCUAUCUACUCUAGUUAUUCUUUUUCACUUGAGACUACUUGUGUACAUUUUAGAUUUUUGUCUAGUACUAUGGGUACCUGUUAUUAGUGGCUCUAGUACUGACCUUAUCAGGUCUUGGGAGAGAUUCAUUUGUAUAGUUGACCCUUUUUUCUCCUCUCGUUUUGAUAUAA
Molecule: long non-coding RNA, 1045 nt
Filed under: Capsicum annuum
Lineage: Eukaryota; Viridiplantae; Streptophyta; Magnoliopsida; Solanales; Solanaceae
Description: long non-coding RNA (CANN_LNC016589)
Source: RNAcentral